Molecule: ribosomal RNA, 1313 nt
Filed under: uncultured Alphaproteobacteria bacterium
Lineage: Bacteria; Pseudomonadati; Pseudomonadota; Alphaproteobacteria
Description: uncultured alpha proteobacterium 16S ribosomal RNA
Rfam family: Bacterial small subunit ribosomal RNA
Source: RNAcentral
ACGCUGGCGGCACGCCUAACACAUGCAAGUCGAACGAAGUAGCAAUACUUAGUGGCAGACGGGUGAGUAACAUGUAGGUAUCUGCCCUUUGGCCUGGAAUAACACGAGGAAACUUGUGCUAAUACCGGAUAAGUCUUUACGGAGAAAGCUUUAUGCACCAUUGGAUGAGCCUGCACUUGAUUAGUUUGUUGGUGGGGUAAUGGCCUACCAAGACUGUGAUCAAUAGCUGAUUUGAGAGGAUGAUCAGCCACAUUGGGACUGAGACACGGCCCAAACUCCUACGGGAGGCAGCAGUGGGGAAUCUUGCACAAUGGAGGAAACUCUGAUGCAGCGAUGCCGCGUGAGUGAAGAAGGCCCUUGGGUUGUAAAGCUCUUUCGUCGGGGAAGAAAAUGACUGUACCCGAAUAAGAAGGUCCGGCUAACUUCGUGCCAGCAGCCGCGGUAAUACGAAGGGACCUAGCGUAGUUCGGAAUUACUGGGCUUAAAGAGUUCGUAGGUGGUUGAAAAAGUUGGUGGUGAAAUCCCAGAGCUUAACUCUGGAACUGCCAUCAAAACUUUUCAGCUAGAGUAUGAUAGAGGAAAGCAGAAUUUCUAGUGUAGAGGUGAAAUUCGUAGAUAUUAGAAAGAAUACCAAUUGCGAAGGCAGCUUUCUGGAUCAUUACUGACACUGAGGAACGAAAGCAUGGGUAGCGAAGAGGAUUAGAUACCCUCGUAGUCCAUGCCGUAAACGAUGUGUGUUAGACGUUGGAAAUUUAUUUUCAGUGUCGCAGCGAAAGCGAUAAACACACCGCCUGGGGAGUACGACCGCAAGGUUAAAACUCAAAUGAAUUGACGGGGACCCGCACAAGUAGUGGAGCAUGUGGUUUAAUUCGAAGAUACGCGCAGAACCUUACCAACACUUGACAUGUUCGUCGCGACUCUAAGAGAUUAGAGUUUUCGGUUCGGCCGGACGAAACACAGGUGCUGCAUGGCUGUCGUCAGCUCGUGUCGUGAGAUGUUGGGUUAAGUCCCGCAACGAGCGCAACCCUCACUUUUAGUUGCCAUCAUUAAGUUGGGCACUCUGAAAGAACUGCCAGUGAUAAGCUGGAGGAAGGUGGGGAUGACGUCAAGUCCUCAUGGCCCUUACGUGUUGGGCUACACACGUGCUACAAUGGUAUCUACAACAGGAAGCAAGACUGCGAAGUUAAGCAAAUCCCUAAAAGAUACCUCAGUUCGGAUUGCACUCUGCAACUCGAGUGCAUGAAGCUGGAAUUACUAGUAAUCGUGGAUCAGCGUGCCACGGUGAAUGCGUUCCCGGGUCUUGUACACACCGC